RNAcentral lists this small nuclear RNA (191 nucleotides) under Lingula anatina. RNAcentral's name for it is "U2 spliceosomal RNA". It matches the Rfam family "U2 spliceosomal RNA". Rfam says of the family: U2 is a small nuclear RNA (snRNA) component of the spliceosome (involved in pre-mRNA splicing). The record is from Rfam by way of RNAcentral. Lineage: Eukaryota; Metazoa; Brachiopoda; Lingulata; Lingulida; Lingulidae.
AUCGCUUCUCGGCCUUAUGGCUAAGAUCAAAGUGUAGUAUCUGUUCUUAUCAGCUUAAUAUCUGAUACGUCUCCUACAGGGGACUUCGAUUUAAACUGAUUUUUGGAACUGGGAAGGGCGUCAGGAGCUUGCUCCACUCAAGCCACGGGUUGGCCUGGUAUUGCAGUAUCUCCAGGAUCGGCCCACUCCCU